CAUUAGAUGGCUGAAAGUAAGUAACGGUCUCUUAAACCGCCCUAUAGUAUUUAACAACUACUUCUAAUGA
Molecule: transfer RNA, 70 nt
Filed under: Crypsis chinensis
Lineage: Eukaryota; Metazoa; Arthropoda; Insecta; Coleoptera; Tenebrionidae
Description: tRNA-Lys
Source: RNAcentral